RNAcentral lists this ribosomal RNA (446 nucleotides) under uncultured bacterium. RNAcentral describes it as "bacterial SSU rRNA". It matches the Rfam family "Bacterial small subunit ribosomal RNA", at positions 329 to 792 of the family's 1533-position model. The record is from RNAcentral.
GGCCAGACUCCUACGGGAGGCAGCAGUGGGGAAUAUUGCACAAUGGGGGAAACCCUGAUGCAGCGACGCCGCGUGAGUGAAGAAGUAUUUCGGUAUGUAAAGCUCUAUCAGCAGGGAAGAAGUUGACGGUACCUGAGUAAGAAGCACCGGCUAACUACGUGCCAGCAGCCGCGGUAAUACGUAGGGGGCAAGCGUUAUCCGGAUUUACUGGGUGUAAAGGGAGCGUAGACGGCAGUGCAAGUCUGAAGUGAAAGCCCCGGGCUUAACCCGGGAAUUGCUUUGGAAACUGUACGGCUGGAGUGCUGGAGAGGUAAGCGGAAUUCCUAGUGUAGCGGUGAAAUGCGUAGAUAUUAGGAGGAACACCAGUGGCGAAGGCGGCUUACUGGACAGUAACUGACGUUGAGGCUCGAAAGCGUGGGGAGCAAACAGGAUUAGAUACCCGAGUA